GGCAGCUUGGCCGAGUGGUUAAGGCGACAGACUGGAAAUCUGUUGGGCUCUGCCCGCGCAGGUUCGAAUCCUGCAGCUGUCG
Babesia microti strain RI is the source of this 82-nucleotide transfer RNA. It matches the Rfam family "tRNA". Rfam says of the family: Transfer RNA (tRNA) molecules are approximately 80 nucleotides in length. Their secondary structure includes four short double-helical elements and three loops (D, anti-codon, and T loops). The record is from Rfam. Lineage: Eukaryota; Apicomplexa; Aconoidasida; Piroplasmida; Babesiidae.